Molecule: long non-coding RNA, 103 nt
Organism: Octodon degus (degu)
Lineage: Eukaryota; Metazoa; Chordata; Mammalia; Rodentia; Octodontidae
Exons: 3
Source: RefSeq, a predicted model, not a curated record
CCGAGGAUGGCUAGGCUCCCCGGUUCUUACUUUGAGCAUUGCUUCCCAGCUCCAGUUCAGAUCCCUCAGCCUACUAGCAGAGAUCCUUCAUCUUGCUGGCAUA